AAUUAAUAUAUCUUUCUUUAGAAAAGAAACUAAUAUAAUUGACUAUGCAUUCUGAAAAGAUAGCUUGUUCAUACUUCUACUAGUAUCUCCAUGAAGAUUUUCAUGUUAUUCUGAUAUAUGUCCAUUAUUAAAGACAAAUGCAUUUUUAAAUCUUGUAAUUAGAAGGUUCAUAGCCAUCAUAGGUCUGUUGGAAGCAGAAAUACACAUUAAUAUUUUAGCUUUCCAUUUGCUUUCAUGAAAUCUAUGAACAGAAGCUAUCAGCAUCUAGGGAUUGUCUUCAAAUGACAAAUUCAGCAUGCUACAAAAAAGUGAUACUGGGAUUUCCUGCUGAAUUCAUCUAAAGUUAGGCCAUCCUGAGUAAUGAUUCAGAGUGGAUUCUUAUUCUCACAUGCCAAAAGUUAUUUUUCUCUUUUUAUAUUUGAUUUUGAUGGUGAUGAAUAUGACUGUGAAAAGGAAUUAUGCCACAUAAAGAGAAAUACUCAUAGUUUUACAAAAUGGUCAAUGACAGAAUAGUCUGACUAAAAUGAUAGUUUGAUUUCAUUUUCUCAGAGCUAAAAUACAAAACAUAAUGAAAAUGGACUUCUGAAGUUUUCUGAAUCACCCAAAUGAUAAGUAAUGUCUAAGACUUUAUGUACCUGGGGCAUAAACAGGACAUAGUACAUCCUCAGAAAAGAUUGGUUGUGUGAAUGAAUAAAUUAUGUA
RNAcentral lists this long non-coding RNA (702 nucleotides) under Marmota monax (woodchuck). The record is from RNAcentral. Lineage: Eukaryota; Metazoa; Chordata; Mammalia; Rodentia; Sciuridae.